GGACAACCAUCUUCGAAUGUCUCACGUGGACGAGAUGGAGAUGAGAACGAACAAAGAGCAAAAGAACUUAUUCUUCUUCACUCCAAUUACAUCAUUCUUCCAAUUACAUCAUUCUUCACAGAUCACCUAUUCUUCUCAUAUUCUUCUCAUCGCAAAUAUGGCAUAGAAGCUUCUCCAAAUUCGCUAAUAGAAUUUUGAGUCUAUGAUUUC
This 210-nucleotide long non-coding RNA is filed under the name Phaseolus vulgaris (common bean). RNAcentral describes it as "long non-coding RNA (PVUL_LNC004557)". Lineage: Eukaryota; Viridiplantae; Streptophyta; Magnoliopsida; Fabales; Fabaceae. The record is from RNAcentral.